CCUACGGGGGGCAGCAGUAGGGAAUAUUGCGCAAUGGGGGAAACCCUGAAGCAGCAACGCCGCGUGGAGGAUGAAGGUUUUCGGAUUGUAAACUCCUGUUAUUAGAGAAGAUAAUGACGGUAUCUAACGAAUAAGCACCGGCUAACUCCGUGCCAGCAGCCGAGGUAAUACGGAGGGUGCAAGGGUUACUCGGAAUUACUGGGCGUAAAGGGCGCGUAGGCGGGUUAGCAAGUCAGAUGUGAAAUCCUAUGGCUUAACCAUAGAACUGCAUUUGAAACUGGUAUUCUAGAGUAUGGGAGAGGUAGGUGGAAUUCUUGGUGUAGGGGUAAAAUCCGUAGAGAUCAAGAGGAAUACUCAUUGCGAAGGCGACCUGCUAGAACAUAACUGACGCUGAUGCGCGAAAGCGUGGGGAGCAAACAGGAUUAGAUACCCCGGUAGUC
Molecule: ribosomal RNA, 440 nt
Filed under: uncultured bacterium
Lineage: Bacteria
Description: partial 16S ribosomal RNA
Rfam family: Bacterial small subunit ribosomal RNA
Source: RNAcentral